UUAACUAUGUAAUUGAUUAAAUAAAAGUUAAAAAAGAGUCUCCAAUACCUAUUAGUACUGGGCAUGGAUUAAGCCAUUAGAAGUUAAGGGCAGAACCACGUAAAAAUCUUGGUGUUCUUAUUUAUUGUUUAUCUUGUUUGCAUUGUUUCAAUUCCGCACUUAAACACUUCAUAUUCUACAUUGAUAAAAGAAGUUAUGAUUUAACAGGUUCUGCAAAUAAGUUAACAUGUUCUACAAAUAAGUUAACAGGUUCUGCAUAUCAAUUCAAACACUUAAAUAGACAUGUGAUAACAUGUCUGGAUAGUUCAGUUAACUGAGAAUUAAAAAGUUGUCAUUGUAGUUCACUGUUAGCAUAAACACCUAUUCACCUCCCUCUAGGUGUGCAUACACUCGGAAUUUCAUUAUCUGCAAAUGAUCAAACAACAUAUGUGCAUGUGCAUAAAUACAAAAGCAUGUGAACUUAUUCUGAAAGUAGUUAGAAAAAUCAAGAACUAUCAAGAAAAUUCUGUAAAUUUGCAGAAUAUAUCACUAGCUUAAAAAGAAAAGCAAGAUUUUAGCUUUAUAAGGGAAAAAGAAAAAGAAAUCUAUGAAAUGUCAUUGUUUUCUUUCAGCCACAAACCAUAAUAAGACUGGAUCCGUAAUUAUAGGCCUCAAGAAAAGUGCAGUUGACAAAAGAGUGGAGAACAUAAAAAAAGAAGGGCAAUUGAAUAAAAUUAAAUAAUUCAAUGCCAUGCCAGGCCACCAGAUAAUAUAUUUAUGCUUGCUGCUCAACUUGUUCAUUACCAAUUCAACGUGUUGAUUAAGAAAUCACAUCUUCAAAUCUUUGAACCACAUAUGAUAGAUGCCAUAAACAGUUAAUCUCGUUCAUAUGCAAAAAUAUUGCCACAAAAGGUCAACAAAUUCAUUAUAAGAAGGGUCUCAUGGUGUCAUGAGCUUGUGAGAAAGAAUAGUUGUAAUUAUGCACUAGUAUUCUUCAUGAUAAUUAAUUAACUUACUAUCAAAUACAUACAUCAAGUAAACAACUUCAGUUGAGACUGAUCUGUUCCAAUUGUACAUCCAGAACUAAGUUGCCCGGAAACCACCAUUCCUUGAAUUACGACAAAAUGGUUUAACUCUUUCAACAGUACAAUCAAUUUGAUCAAACCACUUUGGGCAUCCAAGGUAUAUUACCAGCAAUAUUAACCAACUUUCCAGGCAAAAUAUAUGAACCCAACUUCAACUCCAGAAACAACAAAAGCCCCUUUCAACGGCUCCAGUCUUAUUAUGGCUUUAUAAGGGAAAAAGCAAAAGAAAUCUAUGAAAUGUAAUUGUUUUGUGUGUUCCCUAUUCUAGUCUUCAUAGCAUCAAUACAUCAAACAUGUGGUGCAUAUAUAACCAAAAUCAAAAUUGAUUGAGCACCAAAAUCACAAAUAUAACCAAAAUCAUAUUUGAUUAAGUACAAAUGGAUGAACAAAGUGAAGAAAUCGCAAAUAAGUAAACUGAAGUUAGAUGUCUUACCUAAUUGAAAGAUAACAGCGGGAGAAGCAAAAUUACCCUAGAAAAUAAAAAUUAUGCGAUCAAUUUUAAAGGAGAUGGAGGAGAGAAGGGAGAGGACAAAGAAGAGCGGGAAGAGAGAGAAAAGAGAAAGAAUAGAGAACAGAGAGGAGAGAAGAGAGACAUGUACCUGUGAUGGAUUCCAUGACAGGAGACUCAAGCUAUUAAAGGCCAUAGAGAUCGAUCGAUCGAUGAUUAGUCUGCAUGAAAAUGAGCGAGGCUUAGUACGGAAUGAAGUAAACCUACCUAGUAAGGUGGGAAUGAAAAAAAAACAUUAGAAUAACUAAAGGAA
RNAcentral lists this long non-coding RNA (1825 nucleotides) under Panax ginseng (ginseng). RNAcentral's name for it is "long non-coding RNA (PGIN_LNC015598)". Lineage: Eukaryota; Viridiplantae; Streptophyta; Magnoliopsida; Apiales; Araliaceae. The record is from RNAcentral.